GCGCGUUCGUACCCGGUCCGGGUCGGCUGGGCUGCCCGCCGCUCCGCGCGCCCGGGCGGUCGCAGGUCGCGCCUGCUUUGGCCCCGGCGGGUUCGGCAUCCGAGCCUGGCAGGGGCCAAUAGAAAGUUUCCUACACUACUGAGGUUUAGGGGCACUGUGAAGCAAAAGCCACGCCUCAGAAUCCCAGGCGGAGACUCCGACCUCGUCCCGGGAGGGAAGCCAGUAGCUGAGCACCUGCGGGAGAUUAAAGAGAGGAAUAAGGAGGUGAGUACAUGACAAAGAGCCACAGUCGCAGGCGGUGGGGCCUGGCUCAGAACAGGCUGUGCUGGGAAGCGGGAGCAGGAGCUGGCGCCGCCUUGCGGGCUGGCAGAGGACCAUCCACUCCCUGGCGCUGGGGCCGUCCCAUCUCAUGGGCAAGAAACGUGAGACCCCUGGCUCGCUCCACACACAACCUAAGUGCCAGAUGGAUGAGACGCCUACGCGUGAGUAAAUGCCAGGAACAUGAGACUCGAACGUGGCAGGAUAUCCUUCUGCCCACGAAUCUAAAAGCUUACUCGGUAAUGGGAGAAUGGUUCCAAUUUGAUAAACUCGGGUUUUUGGAACGUCUGUGCUCCAGAAACACUGGAAGGCAAGUGGCUGCUGACUGGAGGAGAUAAUUGGAUGCUGCAAGCGGCAAAGGGCUCGGGAUGCAAAACACCGCAAGAAAUGCAACAAGUGAGGAGCAUUCCCGCAAAGAAAAAACGCACAGGCCGAGAGCAGUGGCUCACGCCUGUAAUCCCAGCAGUUUGGGAGGCCGAGGCAGGUGCAUCGCUUGAGGACAGGAGUUCGAGACUAGGCUGGCCAACAUGGUGAAACCCCAUCUCUACUAAAAAUACAAAAAAAAAAAAAAAAUUAACCGGCUGUGGUGGCGAGUUCCUGUGGUCCCAGCUACUCGGGAGGCUGAGGCAGGAGAAUCGCUUGAACCUGGGAGACAGAGGUUGCAGUGAGCCAAGAUCGUGUCACUGCACUCCAGCCUGGGCAACAGAGUGAGACUCUGUCAAAAAAGAAAAAAAAAAUUGCACAAAUGGCACAAAGAGGAAAAAUCAAAUGGUGAGACCCAAAUAGCCAGGAGCUUUCUUUCUUUUUUUUUUUUUUUCUCCUUUCCUUUUUUCCAUCCUUUUAUCAGCCAUAAAAAGGAAGGGAAGGUUGGGCUGGGCACAGUGGCUCAUGCCUGUAAUCCCAACGCUUUGGGAGGCCAAGGUGAGUGGAUCACCAGAGGUCAGGAGUUCGAGUCAACCUGGCCAACAUGGUGAAACCCCAUCUCUACUAAAAAAUACAAAACUAGCCGGACGUGGUGGCGUGCGCCUGUAAUCCCAGCACUUUGGGAGGCUGAGACAGGAGAAUCCCUUGAACCCAGGAGGCAGAGGUUGCAGUGAGCCAAGAUUGCGCCACGGCACUCCAGCCUGGGCGACAGAGCGAGACUCCGUCUCAAAAAAUAAAAUAAAAAGGAAGGGAAGUUGAAUAGACUACAGCAUGGGUGGACCCUGAGUGAAAUAGGCCAAUUGAAAGGACAGAUGUUACACGAUACCAUUUAUCUGCAAUGCUAGAUUUGGGAGAGCCAUUGAGGCAGAAGAUAGGUGGUGGGUGCCCGGGGUUAAGGGGAGGGGACGGGGAGUCCAUGUGUAAUGGGGACAGAGUCUCUGGAGGGAUGACGCAUUCUGGAGGUGGACGGUGGUAAUGGAUACGCAUGAUGCUGCUGAACUGUGCACUUCAAAAUGGUUAAGACAGUAGAUUUUGUGUUUAUACAAUAAACCCAGAAAAGAUGUAUGCUGCACCACAAACCCA
RNAcentral lists this long non-coding RNA (1824 nucleotides) under Homo sapiens (human). Its description in RNAcentral is "GATD1 divergent transcript". Lineage: Eukaryota; Metazoa; Chordata; Mammalia; Primates; Hominidae. The record is from RNAcentral.